CACACACACACACACACACACACACACACACACACUGCCAUUUGCACUUUUAGGAUGCAUGCAUCUAUGUACACGAGUGUUCUGAGCACCCAACAAGGCCUAAGGCAUAUUUCCUGGCUUGCCACAAGCCAGGAGUGCAGUGGUGCUAAUGGAUACACAGAGUUACUUACGUCUUCCGGGCCACAAGAGUGGCUACUUGGAAGUACUUUGGGUCCACUUUGCUCAGCCGCCUCUCCCUAAAGAAUCCACAUAGUCAAAAGAGGGCUAUUGCUCCAGCUGGACGAUGGCAUUGGGCUGAGCCAGGAACGGAUAACGGAAAUAACAGACUUUCGGCAUGCAUUAGGGCAAAGGUCUAAGACCAUCUCAAAGACUAAAAGAAAAUUCCACUGCUCCUUGAUCCUCACCUCCUCUGGAAAGAUCGGCAUAAAGUGGAGGCCAGGAGCCAGGGGUUUGAGCCCAAGUCCAGUGAUGAGCAACACUUUCUGGCACCUUUGCCUGGGAAUAUGAAGCAGCAAAGUCAAGAUCAAAGAAUGGGCCAGCACUGAGACAAACUAAAGGCAGCUUAGUAACUGGCUGGGACAGCUGCAAAACUGAAAGGGGUUCUCAGAGUGUUUAGUUCCAUGUUUUUCUGCGAAUUAAAUAUCUAUUUAUUAUAUUAUAUAUGGGACUACAUUUGAAAAAACGGUGCAAAAUUAUUUGUUUUGGUUUUUCUGAGACAGGGUUUCUCUGUGUAGCCCUGGCUGUCCUGGAACUCUCUGUAGA
Molecule: long non-coding RNA, 762 nt
Organism: Mus musculus (house mouse)
Lineage: Eukaryota; Metazoa; Chordata; Mammalia; Rodentia; Muridae
Product: predicted gene, 34290
Exons: 3
Source: RefSeq, a predicted model, not a curated record